CGCGUAGGCGGUGCCGCAAGCGGCGUGUGAAAUUCCGGGGCUCAACCCCGGAACUGCGCGCCGGACUGCGGUGCUCGAGUGCGGGAGGGGGGUGCGGAACUCUAGGUGGAGCGGUGAAAUGCGUAGAUAUCUAGAGGAACACCGGUGGCGAAAGCGACACCCUGGCCCGCAACUGACGCUGAGGCGCGAAAGCGUGGGUAGCAAACA
This 207-nucleotide ribosomal RNA is filed under the name uncultured bacterium. Its description in RNAcentral is "partial 16S ribosomal RNA". It matches the Rfam family "Bacterial small subunit ribosomal RNA", at positions 568 to 774 of the family's 1533-position model. The record is from RNAcentral.